GACGAACGCUGGCGGCGUGCUUAACACAUGCAAGUCGAACGGAAAGGCCCUGCUUUUGUGGGGUGCUCGAGUGGCGAACGGGUGAGUAACACGUGAGUAACCUGCCCUUGACUUUGGGAUAACUUCAGGAAACUGGGGCUAAUACCGGAUAGGAGCUCCUGCUGCAUGGUGGGGGUUGGAAAGUUUCGGCGGUUGGGGAUGGACUCGCGGCUUAUGAGCGUGUUGGUGGGGUAGUGGCUUACCAAGGCUUUGACGGGUAGCCGGCCGGAGAGGGUGACCGGCGACACGGGGGGUGAGCCGCCGCCAAGGGGCCUACGGGAGGCACCAGUGGGGAAGGGGGGACAAUGGGGGAAAGUCUGACCCAGCGGGGGCGCGUGCAGGACGAAGGCCUCCGGGGGGGAAACUGGUUUUGUGGGUAAAAAACAGCUUCGGCCUAAGAAAGAGGGGGCAUGACGGUACUGGAAAAAGAAGCACCGGCUAACUACGUG
RNAcentral lists this ribosomal RNA (488 nucleotides) under uncultured bacterium. RNAcentral describes it as "partial 16S ribosomal RNA". It matches the Rfam family "Bacterial small subunit ribosomal RNA", at positions 28 to 507 of the family's 1533-position model. The record is from RNAcentral.